RNAcentral lists this transfer RNA (68 nucleotides) under Hemidactylus macropholis. Its description in RNAcentral is "tRNA-Ala". Lineage: Eukaryota; Metazoa; Chordata; Lepidosauria; Squamata; Gekkonidae. The record is from RNAcentral.
GAGGUCUUAGCUUAAUUAAAGUGUCUAAGUUGCAUUUAGGAGAUGUAUUAUUGUGAAUUACAGGCCUU